Molecule: non-coding RNA, 2557 nt
Organism: Vicugna pacos (alpaca)
Lineage: Eukaryota; Metazoa; Chordata; Mammalia; Artiodactyla; Camelidae
Source: RefSeq, a predicted model, not a curated record
GAGGCCUGGGCUGAGCUGCUGACGCAGGAGGGGGAGACACCCCCAUCCCCACCCGGGCUGCAACCUGGCUCCUUAAUUGGUUUGAAAAAUGGCAGCUGGAUCCCAGCAGCUGCUGCUCUCGGUCUGGCUCAGGAGCAGGGAGGAGGAUGACAGCUUGGCUGGCCAGAGCCCUCGGGUUACUCUCGCAUCGCCUUUCUGUUCCCUCCCCCUCGAGUUUGUUUCUGGGACCCCCUCCCCCAAACCUUCCGCAAAGCCUGGUCACGUGACAGAGCCUCGUCUCAUCCUCCCUGCUGACAUUUCUGGAGGCAGCACUCCCUGCCUGUGCCUGGGUUGGGGGGGGGUUCCUCAGGGAGAGACGCCUCUUCCUGCCCCCACCCCGUGCCCCCCCAGGCGGCCCUCUUCCACUGUUCCCUCUGAUGGAAAGCGUGUGUCUUACUUUCUCCGGAGCAUUUGUCAGUCUGUUCUUUAAGGGCUCCCUUUCUGCCUCGGUGUUUGUUGAGUAUGCUGAUGGCCAGGCUGACGCCAGGCGUCUUGCGGGAGGAAGCAGGGACCCUGGGGCCACUCACUGCGGGAGCAACUUCCUGACUCCGGCUGCACGAAGUAAGAGCUGGGCUUGCCUUAGCCUGGGUUUCCUCGUCUGUGAAGUGAAGAAGGUUGGAUUUAAUCUGUUUGUUCUCAAACUCCUUUUUUCUUCCAGCGUUUUUUUUUCCAAGCAAAAACUGGCAGGAAACACACCCUACAGAGCCCUGUCCACUCAGCUUCACACCUCCAUCCCCAGCUGACCCCCUCUCCCUGAGGGCUCUGCAGAGCACAGCUCAGAAAUCACCAGAUUGGACUCUCCUCGAGGCUCCUUUCAGCUCAAACAGUCUGGGGUCUUCUGGCUGGGCUUUUCAGGAGGGACCCCAGGAGAGGAGAGAGGCUCUACCCUGGGACAGCCUCACCCCUCCAGGUUGUCUGAGGGCCUGGGGCAGAGCGUUAGGGACAAAUAGACGCACCAGUGGUGACUUGGUGGCCCAGAACCUGUAACCUCACUUUACCUAAAAUUGAGUUGAGAAAACAGAUGGGCUUUUGCAGCCACACCGGCCCACGCUGGGCCAUGCAGUCAAAGAGCUAGGCCGUGUUGAGGGCUUCGCAUUUUUUUCUCCAGUGGGAUAGAAAGUUAUUAAAAGAUUGCAAAUGCAUGAUCUGGUUUACACACUUAAAAGAUUUACGUGUUUAAGAGACUCUAGCAUUAGGUUGGAGAGUGGAUUGAGCAGAUAAGCCUGAUGGCCGGGAAAACUACAAAUUUCUUAGUUUAUUCACUAGUUUAUGUAUUGAGAGGUGACAGGAUACCCAGAAGUGAAACCUUGUGUUCACACAAAAACCUGCUCAGGAAUGUCCACAGCAGCACUCUUCAUAGCAGCCAAAAAGUGGAAACAACACGAAUGUCCACCAACAGACCAAUGGAUAUAGGAAAUAUGGGACAAUCCAUGUGGUAAAAAGUAAUCCUUAGAAACUGCAGUUAUUAGAAUCGGGAGACCAGCAGGGGGAGCUCUCACCCAGCCCAGCCCAACAGGAAGAAGAAAGCCUUGUCUUCUUUUCCGCAAGGACUCAGCCAAUGAAAAGCCAAGGGCUGUCUGCUGAGCCCGCCCACCGUCCUCUCCCCUCUAUAAAAAGCUUCUCCUGGCCUAGGGGCCGGGACUUGCCCGUGGCCCGCAGUGACCGAGAGUCUCUGCGGAGAAGCACCUGGCAGUCUUUUUGCUUUCGGUCAACGUGUUGGUGGCCCAUCCGGGGACCAGAGAAGACCCCCGACGGCUCCGGGCUGGUGAGCGAACAGGCGGCACCCACACUGAGCUCAUGGCGCUCCCUGCUUUUCCUGCCGACCCUGGGCUUUGAAGGAAAAUGGAUGAACAAACGGUGGCAUGUCUAUACAACAGAACCCAACCCGGAAUACAGAGGCACGCACUGUGGGCGCCCGCGUCCCGAGUGGACCUCACAUCCGCGCCGCCGAGAGCCCGGGCUGGAGGGCGCACAGGAGCGGUGGCCGGUGGGGGAGGAGGGAACUGCCUGGGAAUGAGCCUGGGGGGAUUUUCUGGAGGUGAUGGACACACUCUGCUCGUCAAAGGGGCGAGGUACGCACGGGUGUGUGUACUUCUCACAGCCUUGGUGCCUUUCAAUGUGUGUACCUCUAAACUGAAAAAAAAAAAACUGAAAAAGAAAAGCGAGGGGUGGGUUGUCACUGGCGGUAUCAGUGAAACAAAAAUGGCAGAUAGUUAGUAGUCCCCGAAGCUGGGUGACAGACCUGAGAUGGCAUUUUGUUAUUUUGUAAAUGCUUACAAUUUUCUGUAAUAAAAUGCUUUUAUGAAAAGACAAAAUUGGUCCACAGUGUCAGCCACAGAGAUGCUGGUUGCCUUGUAGAGGAAGAAAGUGAUGUCUGGGGUGGGGGGUGGACCACACGAAGCUGGUGUAGCUCCUGGCUACACAGGUGUGUUCGCUCCACAAUAAUACAUCCUAAGUGAUUCCAGCAUGUACUUCUGUAUGCAUGUUAUACGUCAAUAAAAAUUUAAAUGUUACAAUA